Molecule: long non-coding RNA, 899 nt
Filed under: Lathyrus oleraceus (garden pea)
Lineage: Eukaryota; Viridiplantae; Streptophyta; Magnoliopsida; Fabales; Fabaceae
Description: Pisum sativum (pea) long non-coding RNA (PSAT_LNC038116)
Source: RNAcentral
CUACUUGCAGUCAACAAUUCCUCGAGCCAAUUUAAGACCUAGCAAUCAUUUCAGCAAAAUCAUACCAAUUCAUAGACAAAGCAUCAAACCAUAAAUCCAAAUCUACCAACAUAUGCCAAACAAUUAAUUACAAAGUCCACAAGACAAAUUAAUCAAAAUCAGAACCUAAUUCACUUAGCUAUCUUGUUACUGCAGUAAAAAACUUAAGGAAAGGGGUAAAAAGCAUCAAAGCAAACAUUCCACAAUAGGACAAAGGAAGGUACAAUGUGCAAAGUGGUUUUUUAGAAGAAACACAAAAAUGAACAAACCUAAACCUGCACAAGCAAGUCCGUUACCCCUUUCCUGAUCAAAAACAUCCAAAACCUAAUUGCUCUUCUAUAUAAGCAGUGGUUUCAGAACAAAGACCCGAGGUUUUUGGAGCAUAAAAAGUUUCAGAAGAAAACACAAGAAAUUUCAUUGUUUUGAGUUAAAGUGAGGUGUGAGAGAGAGAAAGAGAGGAACUCACCUGGAUAAUCUUUUUUUACGGUCAUCUUCUCCGACGAAGGUAGACCCAAAAUCCUUCAAUCGUUUGCAUUUAAGUAACUGGUGUGUAAAGACUAAAUAGGGGAACAUUUCCCCUAGGUUUUCAGGGUCGUUUGUUAUGAUUCCUCCAUUUAAUUUCAUUUCCUAUUUCUAGGGUUCAUGUUUUUUUCCUUCGAUUCGAUCAGAUGGUUAGAAAAUGUUUAAUGUGAGUUCAGGGUUUGUGAUCAGUCAACUAAGAGGUUGAGUUUGGUGGGUCUGCGAUGAUGGUUGGAGCUCCGCUGCCGCCGACGAUGAGACCUGAUUUUCACUUCCUUUGGUGUUCGUGGGCUUAGUCCUACUAGGCUUCCUUUCCACACCUUCCUUUUGCUUACCCCAUC